CUUUUCUGGACUAUAAUCUAUUGUAGAUCUCUUGAACAAAAAACCAUGCCCAGUUCUUGGAAAAAAGGCACAGAUCACACCUGUUUACAAGAAGCAUAGUAGAAGUGAUCCACAAAACUACCAUCCUGUAUCGUUGACAUCUGUUUGUUGUGGAAUCUUAGAACAUAUUCUGAGCUCAAACAUAAUUAGAUGUCUUGAACAGGAUAACCUUCUCAAUGCCAGCUGACAAGGAUUUUGUAAACAUCAAUCAUGUGAAAUUCAACACACACUUUUCUCACAUGACAUACUGAAAGCUUUGGAUCAAGGCAACCAGGUAGAUGCAGUAUUUCUUGAUUUCUGAAAAGAAUUUGACUCAGUACCAUGUCUAUGCUUAUUGUCAAGAGUAUGAUCAUAUGGGGUAUCAAGUGAAAUUUGUAAAUUGAUUGAGGACUUUAUGGUAGGGAGGGCAUAGCAUGUUAUCUUGAAUGGAGAGUCAUGGUCAGAUGUAGAAGUAACUUCAGGUAUGUCCCACAGAAGUGUGUUGGGACCCUUUCAGACAAUAUUAAUAAUAAAAUCAGGCUUUUUACAGAUGAUGCAGUUGUCUAUAAUGAAGCACUGUCUAAAAGAAGCUGCAUAAACAUUCAGUCAGAUCUUGAUAAGAUUUCGGUGUGGUGCAAAGAUUAGCAACUUGUUUUAAAUGUUCAGAAAUGAAAAAAUGUGAUAUCCUAUGACUAUAAUGUCAAUGAGUCGCUGUUGGGAUUGGCCAACUCUUACAAAUAUGUGUGUGUAAUGCUUUGUAGUAGGGACAUGAAGUGAAAUGAUAGCUUCAGUCAUGGAUAAAAUAGGUGGUAGUCUAUGGUUUAUUGGUAGAAUACUGGGGAAGAGCAAUCAGUCUACAAAGGAGAUUGCUUGCAAUUCACUUGUGUGACCAGUUUUAGAAUAUUGCUCAAGUGUGUGGGACCUGUAACAGAUAGGAGAAUGGGGGAUACUGAACGUACAUAGAGAAGAGCAGCACAAAUGGUCACAGGUUUGUUUAAUAUGUGGGAGAGUGUCACAUAGAUAUGAAGGAACUGAACAAGAAGACUCUUUAAGAUAGACGUAAUCUAUCCCAAGAAAGUCUACUAGCAAAAUUUCAAGAACUAGCUUUAAAGGAUUACUCUAGGAAUCUACUACAACCCUCUAUGUAUCACUCACAAAGGGAACACGAGGAUAAGAUUAGAAUAAUUAUAUUUCACUCAGUAGCAUUCAAACAGUCAUUCUUCCUGUCUUUUGUGCGUCAAAGGAAUGGCAAGAAAGCCUAAUAACUGGUACAAUGGGUUGUACCCUCUGCCAUGCAUGUCACAGUGGUUUGCAGUGUGUAGAUGUAGAUGUAAGUGUAAGGUGUUUUUGGUGUUUCCCUAUUGUUGUCCACCCUCUGUUGCUGAGGGAACAUGGUUGGACUUUAAGUCCAGUAACAAUGAAGAGAACAAUCAGCUCUUUUAGAUAGAUGAGUUAAAGAAUGAACUAUAUAAAGCUUUCAAUUGAGACACAAGAGCCAAACAUAGACACUAUAUGUUGGAACAUUUAAAUAAUGAGAAUAUACACUGCUUCUUGGAGGAAUGCAAUGAUGAUCUGCUUACUGAAGCCUGGGAAGGAAGGAUCACAACAGCUUAAGUAGUUGUUGCUGGGUAGAAUUGCCAUUUGUAUAGGGAAACACUGGAAUAAAUGAUCAACAGCCUCUUAGUAUGGACUCUAGAAAGCAGAAAGCUUCUCAUUCAUAUUUAGCGUGGAUUCUGCAACAAUUAAUGGGAAUUUUUGUAUAUUGAAAAGGGCAAUGACACUACAUGAAGAUACAAUUUCAUCUGACUAACUGCAUGAAUGGAACUUCCCAGGUCAUCUUUCAAUUAAAGUGUAGUUACUUUCUGAGCACAGGGUUGGCAGUGCACACUCACAUCAAGAUACUCAGGAGAAAGUCCCUUGGGCAUGUCUAUUGAACUAUUCACACUUGGUCAUUUUGUUUUAUUGAGAACAGAGGCUUGGAAGUGGAUGCUGUUUUUGUAACAAUUUUUCCUAUGGUUUAAAUAAAAUUCCAUGCUAACUAAUGAACAUGGGGAAAAUGAAUGUAAGGAAGACAUAUUGACAGAAAUGCAGCAAGGAGUCAAUGAAAAGGCGAUGCGGCUUGUAAAAUAUGAGACUACUGUUAAUGCUGCCACUAGGAAGUUCAACUUUCCUUAAGCUACUUUACAUUACUAUGUAAAAAAAAACUGAUGAAGAUUUGCCGCAGAAUGCAGCCAGGUUUAUAAAUACAUUUAAUCAUGAUUACAAGAAUUGGAACAACAUGUUAUCGAUUCAGACAGAAGAGCUUUUGAACUGACAAGAUAAUUCAAACACCGAGCCAGCAACCGGCGCGGACAUUCCUUGAUGCGGCAAGUAGCGGGCCGCCAUGGAGCAAACAGUGAGGCUGAUGACAUCGCUCCAUAGAGGUCCAGAGUCACGGUGGCGGGAUACUCCGAGGUGGUUGUUGGACUUCGGAGAAAAAAAAACCGAAGAAUGUAUAAUGAGGAACUUUGUCUGUAACAGCGAAAGUAGGAAGAAGCAAUUUAAUGGCUGGUAACGCAGUAGGUGGUACCUCAAGAGCCUACUGUACAUAGGUAUCAGAAAUAAAUCGCUGUAACUAUUGUAAAAAAGGAGUUCUGAAUAAGAGUUAUUACGAGAAGCAUCAGACAACGUCAGUAACUGGUGAAUGAUCAACAUAGGUGACAUUUUCUUCAUCAGCUGCACCAUACCCUCUUUCACUUGAUGAAUUUAGUCAGCAAUAAGACAGAGCUGAACUACGCAAGUAAUAAAACUCAUCAGUGGGGCAGGUACAGCACAAAUGCAGCUAGCAUAUCUUAAUCUUCUAACUGCUCUGGACGUGUUAACGUGCGUGCCUAUGCCUGUGUGCUCUGAACGUGUUUACGUGCACCACCAGUCCUUCACCUGGCACUCUGAACAUGUCUACGCGUAGACAUGUUCAGAGUACCAGGUAGAAGGACUGGUGGCAUGCGUAAACACGUUCGGAGCUCUCAGGGAAAGGUACAAAGGCAUGUGCGUUAACAUGUCCAGAGCAUUUAAAGGGUUGAUGGUGCAUCACCUGAAUUUGUUAGAGUUGGCCAUGAAUCUGGCAUGCUUCAGGGCUUUGUAAAAUAGGUGGAGCAUUUCAUUAAAUAAGUAAUACCAUCACAAAGAUAUCCAAUCUUUUUGUUUCUGGAUAAUCAUACUUCACAUCUCACUUUGCGAGCCAUUACCCACUGCAGAGAUAAUUUCAUAACUCUCCUAGGUUUCCCACUGCACACAAGACACGGAUUGCAAACUUUGGAUGUGUUAUUUUACAGACCUCUGAAGACAACCUAAAGUAGAGCUUGUACUGAUUUAUCUUGCUAAUCAUCCAGAUCAGGUAAUAACAAUAGAAGUCAUUGCAAGCUUUUUCAACAUUAUCUUUAACAAAGCUGCAUCUUUAAACAAUGCAAAUCAAGGCCAUUAUAGACACAGGAACUGAGAAAUUAAUGAUGAAGACUUCACAGCAUCGCUAACAGUGGACACUCCUAUCAAUGAAAAUUCAACCAACUCUGGUGCUCUACCUGGUAUGUCAGCAAAACCAACUGCAGAAUUUGAUGCACUGCAAGGUCGUUCAUCUAACUCUACUACUAGCUCUAUUUUACCCUUGUUAUCCCAAGCAGAACCUCUACCAGGGUCUUCAUCUAACCCUAUACCUACUUCUAUUUUAUCUCCAUUACCGCAAGCAGAACUUGGUGAAUUAUCAGUGCCCUCACAUACACCUUCUUCCACAUCUACCUGUGCUUUACCACUGUUACCUCAAGCUCCUCCUAAAUGAGGCACAAAAGAACAAAGAAAUAAGUUGCCAUAUCUACCCAUAACUAGCACGUCCACGAAAAUACCUCUGGAAGAAAAGAGACAAAGAAAAUAGAACAACAGGAAGAAGAAAGAAAAAUGAAGAGAUGUAAAAAAUUGAGAGAGAAUGCAAAUGCAAACAAAAAAAAUAUGAACGAAGGUUCUAAACGUAAACUUGCGUUCAGCAGAGGUUUUGAAGUGAGACGAAGAGAGGAUCCUAGAAUAGACUUCUGCAAAUCAUCUUCAGACACAUCCAAUGAAAUUGAGUACACUGACAGUGUUUCCAAUUAUGUUGAUGAGACAGACAUCAUCCUUUGUGAUAAGGUUGGAAAAACAAAAAUGUGGUCUCAGUGUUCCUGAUGCAAAGAGUGGGCUCAUGCUCCAUUUUGGGCUUAAAUUACAGAAAACAAAGUAAAAAAUGAUAUAUUUGUGACUUU
Schistocerca gregaria is the source of this 4286-nucleotide long non-coding RNA. RefSeq lists it as uncharacterized. The record is from RefSeq and is a predicted model, not a curated record. The transcript is spliced from 6 exons. NCBI's taxonomy places the organism in Eukaryota, Metazoa, Arthropoda, Insecta, Orthoptera, Acrididae.